RNAcentral lists this small RNA (936 nucleotides) under uncultured Mortierella. Its description in RNAcentral is "eukaryotic LSU rRNA". The stretch from base 652 to 936 matches the Rfam family "Eukaryotic large subunit ribosomal RNA", at positions 1 to 281 of the family's 3401-position model. The record is from RNAcentral. Lineage: Eukaryota; Fungi; Mortierellomycota; Mortierellomycetes; Mortierellales; Mortierellaceae.
CUUGGUCAUUUAGAGGAAGUAAAAGUCGUAACAAGGUCUCCGUUGGUGAACCAGCGGAGGGAUCAUUACAGAGUUGCAAAACUCCCAACCAUUGUGAACCUACCUCACCGUUGCUUCGGCGGGUGGCUCGGGGUAACCCCGGCCGCGCCGGCUCCUCUUCAGGGGCCCGGCAAACCCGUCAGAGGACCGAAACCCUUCGUUAUCAGUGGCCUCUCUGAGUAACUUAUACAAUAAGUCAAAACCUUCAACAACGGAUCUCUUGGCUCUCGCAUCGAUGAAGAACGCAGCGAAAUGCGAUACGUAAUGUGAAUUGCAGAAUUCAGUGAAUCAUCGAAUCUUUGAACGCAUAUUGCGCUCUUUGGUAUUCCGAAGAGCAUGCUUGUUUGAGUAUCAGUAAACACCUCAAAGCCUUUUUUCUUUUUUGAAGAAAGGCUUUGGACUUGAGCAAUCCCAACACCAAUCUUUUAAAGAGAGGGGGCGGGUUGCUUGAAAUGCAGGUGCAGCUGGACAUUCUCCUGAGCUAAAAGCAUAUUCAUUUAGUCCUGUCAAACGGAUUAUUACUUUUGCUGCAGCUAAUAUAAAGGGAGUUUGACCAUUUUGGCUGACUGAUGCAGGAUUUUCACAAGAGUCUUCAAAACCUCUUGUUAAGCUCGAUCUCAAAUCAAGUAAGACUACCCGCUGAACUUAAGCAUAUCAAUAAGCGGAGGAAAAGAAACUAACAAGGAUUCCCCUAGUAACGGCGAGUGAAGCGGGAUGAGCUCAAAUUUAAAAUCUGGCUGGUUUACUAGUCCGAAUUGUAGUUUAUAGAAGCGUUUUCGGUGGCAGCCUGGGUAUAAAUCCUUUGGAAUAGGGUAUCAUAGAGGGUGAGAAUCCCGUCUUUGACUCAGUGCAUGCUACUAUGUGAUACGUUUUCAAAGAGUCGAGUUGUUUGGGAAU